This is an RNA transcript of Rhineura floridana, 2081 nucleotides long. It is a transcript of the gene named beta-galactoside alpha-2,6-sialyltransferase 1-like, with no coding region annotated. Lineage: Eukaryota; Metazoa; Chordata; Lepidosauria; Squamata; Rhineuridae. The transcript has 7 exons. The record is from RefSeq and is a predicted model, not a curated record.
CCACGGCCCUCCAGGAUUUCAGGCAGAGUCUCUCCCCACCCGCCCCGGGGAGUGGUCCCGGUGCUUCCUGCGCUCAAGGCAGGCGCUCACCCUCUGAGCUGCCCCCCCUCACCUGUUAGGCGCCUGGCAGGCCUGGCUUGAGCGGGCGGGGGACAAGCGACAGCCCCCCGCAUUCUCAUCAGCUGGAAGCGGGCUGGGAUCCUAAGGCCGCUUCCCGGAAAGUGAGCUGCGCCGCAAUCACAGCCUGGGGGGAGUUGACGAGGAAGGGACGCUUCUUCCCCCUUCAGAAAUCUGACCUUCUCGCGGGCCAAAGCUUGCCUCCCCGCCGUGUCCCCUCACGAGGAAGGGCAGCUGCGCACAUGCCCAGCACGGACAUCCCGGCAUUGGCGGCGGGCGGCGCCUCGGGGCGAGCGCCUUCUAGCCCCGGCACCAGCCGAGCGGGCAGACAACCGCUGACUCCCGGGGGGCCCGGCUGGCCGGCCUCUGGUGACCCACGUGGCCGGUCUGCCCGGGCUGCUUUGCGGCUGCCGUCCGGAGCGGCCGAGGCGAUGCGGCUGCAAAGAAGGCCUGUGGAUCCCUGGUGCCGCCUGCAACCUCCCUGGCGGUGGAGAAGGGGCUGCGUCUGGCUGGCGUUUGCUGUGCUUUGCCUGGCCAUGGUCUGCUUGCUCUGCCUGCAGUCUGGGCUUGUGCUGCGUUUGGGCCAUCAUGGACCAGGAGGGCCCUCCGCCUCCAUGGCGACCGUCUUCAAGAGCAUCCAGACUCCCUCCGGGGGAAACAGGACUCCACAGCAGCGCCUUGCUGCUGGGCCUGCCAGCCAGGUCAUUGGCCCUGCAUCGCAGACUCCGUCGUGGGGCUCCUUCCUCUUCCACAUUCUGAGCUUCUGGCAUCGUCUUGUGGAGGUGCUUGUUGGGAGUCGGCAACGCCGAAUGGCUUUCCAUUCCAGCCUCCCUGCCCAGCCUCUGCCCUGGCCAGAGUGGCAGAAGAAGCUCUCCUCCCGGGUCCUGGGCUCCCGCCUCCAGCGUGUCUUCCGGAACUACCAAGCCAUGAACAAGUAUCGGGUGCCCCCGGGUGCCGGGCAGCCUCAAGGGAACCCACGCUCAACUGGGAUGGAUCUGUUGUGCCAGCUCAGAAGUCGUGUGGAGGUGACCACCCUCUUGGGUGAUGAGGGUCCCUUUGCAGCCCCUGAGUGGAGGGGAGUGUUGCCCCGGAGGAGCCUGGCUGAGGACCUGGGCCCCUUGGGGAAGUGUGCCGUUGUGAGCUCAGCCGGCUCUAUGCUGGGGUCAGGACUAGGCCAAGAGAUUGACUCACACGACGCCGUCCUUCGUUUCAAUGGAGCCCCAACCACAGGCUACGAGCAUGACGUGGGCACCAAGACCACCAUCCGCCUUGUGAACUCCCAGCUGAUGGCUUCUCCUGAGCAGCAUUUUCUGGAUGGGCAACUCUAUGCACAGGGAACCUUAGUUGCAUGGGAUCCAGCCCCUUUUCCAGGGGACCUACAGGAGUGGUACAAAGCCCCCGAUUACCCCAUCUUCAGGCCGUUCCAGGUAGUGCGCUCUCGCAGACCCUGGCAGCUCUUCCACCUCUUGCACCCACGACUGCAGUGGCAGCUCUGGGAGCUGGUGCAGGAAGGGGCAGGUGAAGAGGUGCAGCGGAACCCUCCUUCCUCAGGGCUGCUCGGGACUGUGCUGAUGAUGUCGCUGUGUGAGCUUGUCCAUGUCUACGAGUUCCUGCCCUCCCAGCGCCAGUCUCUCCAGUGCCACUACUACCAGGCCUUCCUGGACGAUGCCUGCACCCUGGGCGCCUACCACCCGCUGCUUUUUGAGAAGGACCUGGUCCGGCGCAUGAACCGUGGCGCUCUGGCAGAUCUGGCCCAGCUGGGGCGGGUGACGCUGCCAGGCUUCCGGGCCCUGAAUUGCACCCAGGACAAGUAACUCCGUGGGAGGGAUGGGGGGUACCCCUGCCAUGCAGCAGCCUGAAGCCACCUGCUCUAGGUGAGUCAAGCAAAGGGUCCGCUUACUCACACCGAGUGAAGGAAUUGUUGACCCUUGGGCUAUACUACCUCUGGUUGUUUUUCAUCAAGU